UAGUCCACGCCCUAAACGAUGUAUGCUCGGCGUUCGGCCUAUAUGGCGGGGCGCCCAAGGGAAACCGAUAAGCAUACCACCUGGGGAGUACGUUCGCAAGAAUGAAACUCAAAGGAAUUGACGGGGUCCGCACAAGCGGUGGAGCAUGUGGUUUAAUUCGAUGAUACGCGAGGAACCUUACCAGGGCUUAAAUGUAGUUUGACAGACUAGGAAACUAGUCCUUCUUCGGACAAAUUACAAGGUGCUGCAUGGUUGUCGUCAGCUCGUGCCGUGAGGUGUCGGGUUAAGUCCCAUAACGAGCGCAACCCCUAUUCUUAGUUGCCAGCGAGUAAUGUCGGGGACUCUAAGAAAACUGCCCGUGCAAACGGUGAGGAAGGUGGGGAUGACGUCAAAUCAUCACGGGCCCUUACGUCCUGGGGCUACACACGUGCUACAAUGGUUGGUAUAGAGAGUCGCUAUCUGGGUGACAGAACGCUAAUCUCAAAAAACCAUCUCAGUUCGGGAUUGAAGUCUGCAA
RNAcentral lists this ribosomal RNA (517 nucleotides) under uncultured bacterium. RNAcentral's name for it is "bacterial SSU rRNA". It matches the Rfam family "Bacterial small subunit ribosomal RNA", at positions 791 to 1310 of the family's 1533-position model. The record is from RNAcentral.